Molecule: ribosomal RNA, 766 nt
Filed under: uncultured bacterium
Lineage: Bacteria
Description: bacterial SSU rRNA
Rfam family: Bacterial small subunit ribosomal RNA
Source: RNAcentral
AGAGUUUGAUCAUGGCUCAGAACGAACGCUGGCGGCAUGCCUAACACAUGCAAGUCGAACGGGAUCCAGGCUUCGGCCUGGUGAGAGUGGCGGACGGGUGAGUAACGCGUGGGAACCUGCCCAAUGGUCUGGGAUAACCGCGGGAAACUGCGGCUAAUACCGGAUAAGCCCCCCUCGGUUAAACGGGGAGGGGAAAGAUUUAUCGCCGAUGGAGGGGCCCGCGUCAGAUUAGGUAGUUGGUGGGGUAAUGGCCUACCAAGCCUACGAUCUGUAGCUGGUCUGAGAGGAUGAUCAGCCACACUGGGACUGAGAUACGGCCCAGACUCCUACGGGAGGCAGCAGUGGGGAAUAUUGGACAAUGGGGGCAACCCUGAUCCAGCAAUGCCGCGUGAGUGAUGAAGGCCUUAGGGUUGUAAAGCUCUUUUGGCGGGGACGAUGAUGACGGUACCCGCAGAAUAAGCCCCGGCUAACUUCGUGCCAGCAGCCGCGGUAAUACGAAGGGGGCGAGCGUUGUUCGGAAUUACUGGGCGUAAAGGGCGCGUAGGCGGCCGAUCAAGUCAGAUGUGAAAGUCCUGGGCUUAACCUGGGGACUGCAUUUGAUACUGAUUGGCUUGAAUGCAGGAGAGGAUAGCGGAAUUCCCAGUGUAGAGGUGAAAUUCGUAGAUAUUGGGAAGAACACCGGUGGCGAAGGCGGCUAUCUGGACUGUGAUUGACGCUGAGGCGCGAAAGCGUGGGGAGCAAACAGGAUUAGAUACCCUAGUAGUCC